GACGAACGCUGGCGGCGUGCUUAACACAUGCAAGUCGAACGGAAAGGCCCUGCUCUUGUGGGGUGCUCGAGUGGCGAACGGGUGAGUAACACGCGAGUAACCUGCCCUUGAAUUUGGGAUAACUUCAGGAAACUGGGGCUAAUACAGGAUAGGAGCUCCUGCAGCAUGGUGGGGGUUGGAAAGAUUCGGUGGUUGGGGAUGGACUCGAGGCUUAUCAGCUUGUUGGUGGGGUAGGGAAUUACCAAGGCUUUGACGGGUAGCCGGCAUGAGAGGGUGACCGGCCACAUUGGGACUGAGAUACGGCCCAGACUCCAACGGGAGGCAGCAGUGGGGAAUAUUGCACAAUGGGCGGAAGCCUGAUGCAGCAACGCCGCGUGCGGGAUGAAGGCCUUCGGGUUGUAAACCGCUUUCGCCUGUGACGAAGCGUUAGUGACGGUAAUGGGUAAAGAAGCACCGGCUAACUACGUG
This 468-nucleotide ribosomal RNA is filed under the name uncultured bacterium. RNAcentral's name for it is "partial 16S ribosomal RNA". It matches the Rfam family "Bacterial small subunit ribosomal RNA", at positions 28 to 507 of the family's 1533-position model. The record is from RNAcentral.